Molecule: ribosomal RNA, 492 nt
Filed under: uncultured bacterium
Lineage: Bacteria
Description: partial 16S ribosomal RNA
Rfam family: Bacterial small subunit ribosomal RNA
Source: RNAcentral
AGUGAACGCUGGCGGUAGGCCUAACACAUGCAAGUCGAACGGCAGCACAGUAAGAGCUUGCUCUUACGGGUGGCGAGUGGCGGACGGGUGAGGAAUACAUCGGAAUCUACUUUUUCGUGGGGGAUAACGUAGGGAAACUUACGCUAAUACCGCAUACGACCUACGGGUGAAAGCAGGGGAUCUUCGGACCUUGCGCGAUUGAAUGAGCCGAUGUCGGAUUAGCUAGUUGGCGGGGUAAAGGCCCACCAAGGCGACGAUCCGUAGCUGGUCUGAGAGGAUGAACAGCCACACUGGAACUUAGGCACGGUCCAAACUCCCACGGGAAGCAGGAGGUGGGAAUAAUUGACAAUGGGGGGAAACCCUGUCCAGCCAAACCGCGGGGGUGAAGGAGGCCUUCCGGUUGGUAAGCCCUUUUUGUUGGAAAGAAAAGCAGCAGGGUAAAACCCCGGUUGUCUUACGGUACCCAAAGGAUAAGGAACGGCUAAAUUCGGU